This is a long non-coding RNA of Hordeum vulgare subsp. vulgare (domesticated barley), 790 nucleotides long. RefSeq lists it as uncharacterized. The transcript has 2 exons. The record is from RefSeq and is a predicted model, not a curated record. Lineage: Eukaryota; Viridiplantae; Streptophyta; Magnoliopsida; Poales; Poaceae.
GUAGUUUAGCUUAGCGGAAGAUAUUGGUACCCCUCUUUUGCUUCGACUGAGGGGACACUCUCCUCAUCUCUCAUGGAUCCCUCCCGACACUUCAGAUCUCUCUCCCAGCGGCGUCCCUCCUCUCUCCAUCUGUGGUCUUGGUGCCCAUCAUCGCCAUACCUACAUCAAAGAAGCUACUCCGAUGGCUGGAUGUGGAGAGGAGUUUGAGGUUGGAGAGCACGACACGUGAUGGGACUCAUCCUUGAGUCAUGCCAUCACAACCUGGAGGGCAAUGGAAGCCCCUACCAACAAAGAGCGACAUGGUCUGUCGGAUGACGGCACCAAGAGUGGGAGGUCGCGACAUUAUUUUAGUUUUUUUUUUGCAUGUUGUGGAUGAGCACAAUGAACAGUACGUCUACAAUCAAACUUGGGUAAACAUGACGACACGAAGUAGACUGACUAGGAGGAGUUGUUGUGGAGCAUCGACCGUUACAAAGCCAGUCAUGUCAACAUACCCAUACGAUGUCUUUGGAAUUUUAUCUGCUGCCAGAAGACCAUACGAUGUCCUUGGAAUUUUAUCUGCUGCCAGAAGACCAUACGGAAUGGUCUUCUCUUGGUUGAUUGGCUAUUUCUUGACUUCCAAAGACCAAACACUUGAGGAGGACGUGGAACACUACGGGAAGCACAUAAAUACUCCAACUAUAUCCUAACUAGGUAGGAUAUAUGGAAAGCAACAUUCAGGAACACAAGCAUUGAAAGAAAUCUUCAAUAUAUGCCAUCUCAAAUUCAUAUUUGUAAUACUUUCCAGAAA